Molecule: small RNA, 127 nt
Filed under: Chattonella subsalsa
Lineage: Eukaryota; Raphidophyceae; Chattonellales; Chattonellaceae
Description: partial Cyanobacteria transfer-messenger RNA
Source: RNAcentral
UGAUGCCGGACUGUGUACUGCAAAUGAACGUAAAAGCUAGAAACAUCGACCUUUUCUUUCUUCACGCUCUUUUUUCAGUUAUUUGCCGGGCCUACAUUGGAUACAUAGAGGGCUCCACUUUACCCAA